RNAcentral lists this transfer RNA (80 nucleotides) under Felis catus (domestic cat). It matches the Rfam family "tRNA". From Rfam's summary of the family: Transfer RNA (tRNA) molecules are approximately 80 nucleotides in length. Their secondary structure includes four short double-helical elements and three loops (D, anti-codon, and T loops). The record is from Rfam by way of RNAcentral. Lineage: Eukaryota; Metazoa; Chordata; Mammalia; Carnivora; Felidae.
ACGUGGGUGGCUUAGUCGGUUAAGCGUCUGACUUUGGCUCAGGUCAUGAUCUCACAGUUCGUGGGUUUGAGCCCCACGUC